Transfer RNA from Cryptosporidium muris RN66, 73 nucleotides. It matches the Rfam family "tRNA". Rfam says of the family: Transfer RNA (tRNA) molecules are approximately 80 nucleotides in length. Their secondary structure includes four short double-helical elements and three loops (D, anti-codon, and T loops). Further hydrogen bonds mediate the characteristic L-shaped molecular structure. tRNAs have two regions of fundamental functional importance: the anti-codon, which is responsible for specific mRNA codon recognition, and the 3' end, to which the tRNAs corresponding amino acid is attached (by aminoacyl-tRNA synthetases). tRNAs cope with the degeneracy of the genetic code in two manners: having more than one tRNA (with a specific anti-codon) for a particular amino acid; and 'wobble' base-pairing, i.e. permitting non-standard base-pairing at the 3rd anti-codon position. The record is from Rfam. NCBI's taxonomy places the organism in Eukaryota, Apicomplexa, Conoidasida, Eucoccidiorida, Cryptosporidiidae.
GCCGUCUUAGCUUAGAUGGCAGAGCAUUCGCUUAGUAAGCGAAAGGUCACGGGUUCGAUCCCCGUAGAUGGCU